Molecule: long non-coding RNA, 580 nt
Organism: Wyeomyia smithii (pitcher-plant mosquito)
Lineage: Eukaryota; Metazoa; Arthropoda; Insecta; Diptera; Culicidae
Exons: 3
Source: RefSeq, a predicted model, not a curated record
UUUCACUACCUGUUAAACUAUAUAAACAAAAUUGUUCAUCGUUACUCGGCGUCUCAAAGUGAACAUACAACAUGAGAGAUAUUGAAACGGAAGAUUUUCGGCUCGGUUCAUUCAUCAACACAAACGUAGCAACCGGGAGAGUGAAACUCAAAGAUGGAAAAAUCAAUUUCGCUUGGCGGUGCUGACUUUUUUCAAAGUGUUUUUAAGAAAUAUUUAUUCCGUUUCUAGAAAAAAAACCUAAAAUGAGUGGUGAUAGAGGAAGCUUUUCUUGUGAUAAUGGUGACAUCAGAACAAGAAAGCGUAGUGCAGAAAAGCGUACGUUACAGGACAUAUUGUAAAAGAAAUGCUGGAAAACAUUCUUCUGGCGAAGCUGAAUCGGGAGGUGUUCGAACGGAUCCUACAAACGCACGGUUGGAAGGACAAUGUUGUAACUGAAUAAUCUGUCCAAACCAGUCUACCGUUCCAUGUUACGUUUGUUUCUAUAUGAAAAGGAAUUUUUAAAUUAUAUAAAACUUAUGAAAUAUCCUCUAGUGAAUAGCUCCACAAGUAUAUUAACACCUGACACACAUUACUAAAAUAA